This 68-nucleotide transfer RNA is filed under the name Marmota monax (woodchuck). Its description in RNAcentral is "tRNA.Ala". The stretch from base 3 to 63 matches the Rfam family "tRNA", at positions 6 to 65 of the family's 71-position model. Rfam says of the family: Transfer RNA (tRNA) molecules are approximately 80 nucleotides in length. Their secondary structure includes four short double-helical elements and three loops (D, anti-codon, and T loops). Lineage: Eukaryota; Metazoa; Chordata; Mammalia; Rodentia; Sciuridae. The record is from RNAcentral.
GUUGUGGCUCAGUGGUGGAGCACUUGCCUAGCAUGCAUGAGGUACUGGGUUGGAUCCUCAGCAUCACA